UCGGAUGUGGUGCACGGUGCACGCCCGCUGUUCAUGAGCACGCAUCGCCGGAGAUUGAAGCGGGAGGAACUGGGUUCGACUCCCAACAUCCGAA
This is a non-coding RNA of Mycena crocata, 94 nucleotides long. Lineage: Eukaryota; Fungi; Basidiomycota; Agaricomycetes; Agaricales; Mycenaceae. The record is from the annotation of a GenBank genome assembly.